AUUGAACGCUGGCGGCAUGCCUUACACAUGCAAGUCGAACGGCAGCACGGGAGCAAUCCUGGUGGCGAGUGGCGAACGGGUGAGUAAAGUAUCGGAACGUGCCCAGUCGUGGGGGAUAACGUAGCGAACGUUACGCUAAUAACGCAUACGAUCAAUGGAUGAAAGCGGGGGAUCGCAAGACCUCGCGCGAUUGGAGCGGCCGAUAUCAGAUUAGGUAGUUGGUGGGGUAAAGGCCCACCAAGCCGACGAUCUGUAGCUGGUCUGAGAGGACGACCAGCCACACUGGGACUGAGACACGGCCCAGACUCCUACGGGAGGCAGCAGUGGGGAAUUUUGGACAAUGGGCGAAAGCCUGAUCCAGCCAUGCCGCGUGCAGGAUGAAGGCCUUCGGGUUGUAAACUGCUUUUGUACGGAACGAAAGGGACUGCCCUAAUACGGUGGUCCCAUGACGGUACCGUAAGAAUAAGCACCGGCUAACUACGUGCCAGCAGCCGCCGUAA
Molecule: ribosomal RNA, 500 nt
Filed under: uncultured bacterium
Lineage: Bacteria
Description: partial 16S ribosomal RNA
Rfam family: Bacterial small subunit ribosomal RNA
Source: RNAcentral